This 465-nucleotide ribosomal RNA is filed under the name Vreelandella stevensii. RNAcentral's name for it is "partial 16S ribosomal RNA". It matches the Rfam family "Bacterial small subunit ribosomal RNA", at positions 338 to 795 of the family's 1533-position model. Lineage: Bacteria; Pseudomonadati; Pseudomonadota; Gammaproteobacteria; Oceanospirillales; Halomonadaceae. The record is from RNAcentral.
CCUACGGGUGGCUGCAGUGGGGAAUAUUGGACAAUGGGCGAAAGCCUGAUCCAGCCAUGCCGCGUGUGUGAAGAAGGCCUUCGGGUUGUAAAGCACUUUCAGUGGGGAAGAAAGCCUUGGGGCUAAUACCCUCGAGGAAGGACAUCACCCACAGAAGAAGCACCGGCUAACUCCGUGCCAGCAGCCGCGGUAAUACGGAGGGUGCGAGCGUUAAUCGGAAUUACUGGGCGUAAAGCGCGCGUAGGCGGUCUGAUAAGCCGGUUGUGAAAGCCCCGGGCUCAACCUGGGAACGGCAUCCGGAACUGUCAGGCUAGAGUGCAGGAGAGGAAGGUAGAAUUCCCGGGGUAGCGGUGAAAUGCGUAGAGAUCGGGAGGAAUACCAGUGGCGAAGGCGGCCUUCUGGACUGACACUGACGCUGAGGUGCGAAAGCGUGGGUAGCAAACAGGAUUAGAUACCCCAGUAGUC